This 118-nucleotide non-coding RNA is filed under the name Capsicum annuum. RNAcentral describes it as "Bacterial small subunit ribosomal RNA". It matches the Rfam family "Bacterial small subunit ribosomal RNA", at positions 402 to 535 of the family's 1533-position model. The record is from Rfam by way of RNAcentral. Lineage: Eukaryota; Viridiplantae; Streptophyta; Magnoliopsida; Solanales; Solanaceae.
UGGAGGUAGAAGGCCCACGGGUCGUGAACUUCUUUUCUCGGAGAGGAAGCAAUAACGGUAUCUAGGGAAUAAGAAUCGACUAACUCUAUGAUAGCAACCGCGGUAAUAUAGAGGAUAC